Pogoniulus pusillus (Red-fronted tinkerbird) is the source of this 541-nucleotide long non-coding RNA. RefSeq lists it as uncharacterized. The record is from RefSeq and is a predicted model, not a curated record. NCBI's taxonomy places the organism in Eukaryota, Metazoa, Chordata, Aves, Piciformes, Lybiidae. The transcript is spliced from 3 exons.
GUUUGCCCAACUGGGCAGAGGGAUCCUCCUUCUCUCAUCACUGGUGCUGGGUCUCCUUAGGCUGAGCUUCUCUUUGUUUAGGUGCUUCUUUCUGCUUGCUCGUGAAGAGUUGGAGUACUUGGUGGAACUGGAAGCUCAUAGGCACUGAAAAUGAGUGUCCAGUCUGUACUGAGCCAGAGCAUCUUACCUGAGAGGCACAGUCUGGUCAACAUGCUUAGAGUUUCCACUCCCUCCACAGCAAAUAUUCUGUGUUUCUAAAAGGAGAAAAAAACGUCUUAAGCAAGUGACUUCCCAAGAGUAACCAAAGUGAAUCUGGCAUAAGGAGUUUCCAAUUACCUUUCUGAAAAUACUUUCAGAGUAAGAGGAUUCAUCGAGAAUACACAAAAUAGUCUUUAUUUUCCUCAAUAAGAUGUUUGAGUCUUCUUGGUUUACAUCUCUUCCAUCUGAGCAAUGUGUGUAAGUAGAUAGCACUUCCUUUGACCUGUGGAAAUUGCUCCACUUUGUGGUGCAAAAUCCACCAAUAAAGACAACUAAAGAACAA